ACGCUGGCGGCGUGCCUAAUACAUGCAAGUCGAGCGAACGGACGAGAAGCUUGCUUCUCUGAUGUUAGCGGCGGACGGGUGAGUAACACGUGGAUAACCUACCUAUAAGACUGGGAUAACUUCGGGAAACCGGAGCUAAUACCGGAUAAUAUUUUGAACCGCAUGGUUCAAAAGUGAGAGGCGGUCUUGCUGUCACUUAUAGAUGGAUCCGCGCUGCAUUAGCUAGUUGGUAAGGUAACGGCUUACCAAGGCAACGAUGCAUAGCCGACCUGAGAGGGUGAUCGGCCACACUGGAACUGAGACACGGUCCAGACUCCUAUGGGAGGCAGCAGUAGGGAAUCUUCCGCAAUGGGCGAAAGCCUGACGGAGCAACGCCGCGUGAGUGAUGAAGGUCUUCGGAUCGUAAAACUCUGUUAUUAGGGAAGAACAUAUGUGUAAGUAACUGUGCACAUCUUGACGGUACCUAAUCAGAAAGCCACGGCUAACUACGUGCCAGCAGCCGCGGUAAUACGUAGGUGGCAAGCGUUAUCCGGAAUUAUUGGGCGUAAAGCGCGCGUAGGCGGUUUUUUAAGUCUGAUGUGAAAGCCCACGGCUCAACCGUGGAGGGUCAUUGGAAACUGGAAAACUUGAGUGCAGAAGAGGAAAGUGGAAUUCCAUGUGUAGCGGUGAAAUGCGCAGAGAUAUGGAGGAACACCAGUGGCGAAGGCGACUUUCUGGUCUGUAACUGACGCUGAUGUGCGAAAGCGU
This 747-nucleotide ribosomal RNA is filed under the name uncultured bacterium. RNAcentral describes it as "bacterial SSU rRNA". It matches the Rfam family "Bacterial small subunit ribosomal RNA", at positions 33 to 762 of the family's 1533-position model. The record is from RNAcentral.